CCUACGGGUGGCAGCAGUGAGGAAUAUUGGUCAAUGGUCGGGAGACUGAACCAGCCAAGCCGCGUGAGGGAUGAAGGUACAGAGUAUCGUAAACCUCUUUUGUCAGGGAACAAAGACUGGGACGCGUCCCCGUAUGAGUGUACUUGAAGAAAAAGCAUCGGCUAACUCCGUGCCAGCAGCCGCGGUAAUACGGAGGAUGCGAGCGUUAUCCGGAUUUAUGGGGUUUAAAGGGUGGGUAGGCGGUGUGUUAAGUAAGCGGUAAAAGUCCAGGGCUCAAGGGUGGCCCUGAGAUGGACAGUGGCAGGAUUGAGUGCGGUAGGGGAGACAGGAAUUGGCGGUGUGGCGGUGGAAGGUGUAGAUAUCGGGAAGAACACAGAUUGCGAAGGAAG
Molecule: ribosomal RNA, 389 nt
Filed under: uncultured bacterium
Lineage: Bacteria
Description: partial 16S ribosomal RNA
Rfam family: Bacterial small subunit ribosomal RNA
Source: RNAcentral